UGACCUGGGCUACACACGUGCUACAAUGGGCGGUACAAAGGGUCGCGAACCCGCGAGGGGAGCCAAUCCCAAAAAGCCGCUCUCAGUUCGGAUUGCAGGCUGCAACUCGCCUGCAUGAAGCCGGAAUCGCUAGUAAUCGCGGAUCAGCAUGCCGCGGUGAAUACGUCCCCGGGCCUU
RNAcentral lists this ribosomal RNA (177 nucleotides) under uncultured Anoxybacillus sp. RNAcentral describes it as "partial 16S ribosomal RNA". It matches the Rfam family "Bacterial small subunit ribosomal RNA", at positions 1205 to 1382 of the family's 1533-position model. Lineage: Bacteria; Bacillati; Bacillota; Bacilli; Caryophanales; Anoxybacillaceae. The record is from RNAcentral.